This 321-nucleotide ribosomal RNA is filed under the name uncultured eukaryote. Its description in RNAcentral is "partial 18S ribosomal RNA". It matches the Rfam family "Eukaryotic small subunit ribosomal RNA", at positions 1470 to 1796 of the family's 1831-position model. The record is from RNAcentral.
CCCUUAGAUGUCCUGGGCCGCACGCGCGCUACACUGACAUGUUCAACAAGCCUCCUAGUUCGACAGGAUUUGGGGAAUCUUUGAACGCAUGUCGUGAUAGGGAUAGAUCAUUGCAAUUAUUGAUCUUGAACGAGGAAUUCCUAGUAAACGCGAGUCAUCAGCUCGCAUUGAUUACGUCCCUGCCCUUUGUACACACCGCCCGUCGCACCUACCGAUUGAAUGUUUCGGUGAAGAUUCCGGAUAGGACUUUUUUGAUUUAUUUCAAUUUUGUCUUAAAAGCUAUCUAAACCUCAACAUUUAGAGGAAGGUGAAGUCGUAACA